RNAcentral lists this ribosomal RNA (387 nucleotides) under uncultured bacterium. RNAcentral describes it as "bacterial SSU rRNA". It matches the Rfam family "Bacterial small subunit ribosomal RNA", at positions 28 to 417 of the family's 1533-position model. The record is from RNAcentral.
GACGAACGCUGGCGGCGUGCUUAACACAUGCAAGUCGAGCGGUAAGGCCCUUUCGGGGGUACACGAGCGGCGAACGGGUGAGUAACACGUGGGUGACCUGCCCUCAGCUCUGGGAUAAGCCUGGGAAACCGGGUCUAAUACUGGAUAUGACUCCAUGACGCAUGUUGUGGGGUGGAAAGCCUUGCGCGGCUGAGGAUGGGCCCGCGGCCUAUCAGCUUGUUGGUGGGGUGAGGCCUACCAAGGCGACGACGGGUAGCCGGCCUGAGAGGGCGACCGGCCACACUGGGACUGAGACACGGCCCAGACUCCUACGGGAGGCAGCAGUGGGGAAUCUUGCGCAAUGGGCGAAAGCCUGACGCAGCGACGCCGCGUGAGGGAUGACGGCCU